AACAGGCUUCUGCUCGAUCUGAGCAUUGGCAAGGACAACACGUCCUCUCACUGUGCUCCCCUCCCCCUUGCUGAGCACGUGGGGUAGGGGAAAGACAAAGUCUGCGCCUCCCAUGGUGACAAGCGAUCCUGCCGCGCUACGCGUCACGAUUGCCGCACCGAGGCAUGCGCCAGCGUCGUUAAAGGCUGUGCUUCUGCGGACCUUGUCCGCAGCUACGCGACUGAUGUCGACGACUUGGCCACUCAAGCAUCCGUUUCUCAUUCCAUAGAGAAGGCUUGCGUAGGCGGCCAUCGUUUCAUCCUUCAGGCUGAUUCUCCACACCGACACGCCGACUUGCUCCACAUGCUCCUGGCCAACCGCUCCUAUGCGUCACACCAUUUCACCCAUUCGCUGCCCAACCUGGAGCUUCUCAGCGUUGGCUACUAGACGUCCAUCAAGCUUGCCGCCUGAGAGUUUGCUUCAUUCAGUCACACGCUCCUGCCACUGCAGCGUGCGAAACUGAAGUGGUGACACCGUUCUUGCCAACUGCCGGUUGCUUACGUGUGCCGAUGUCUCGCGCCGUUUGAGUCCUUGCCGACUUUACCUCAGCGAAGGAGACAAUGCGACUCACAGCACCCGCCGUCGGGAACAGUGACCUCGCGAACUUUGACACGGUGGGGUCGUGUCAUCUGCUGCUGCGCGUAGACGUCGAACUCGGUGUACGUCUGCGCCGUCUGGUGCCACUGUCUGUGGCACCGAACCUUCCAUAGCCCGUCCCCGAGGACCGUGGGGCGACAGCCUUUGGGACGCCCCCUACACCUGUUCCCCGUCGGCGUGCGUGAAUUUUGCUUGUUGCGAACACACUGCAACUCUUACACAGCUGAGGGCUGCUUCCCAAGCUGCACGAGAUACCUGCACUGUGCCGCCGCCUCUUCUACUUGGUGAACUUGACCGAGUAUCCGCUGUUAUGCGCCGACUAUUUCACCUACUUUCAUGCGCUGACCAUCCUUACCCUACUCACUGGCUCGCCAUUUCUACAG
This 1019-nucleotide unclassified non-coding RNA is filed under the name Leishmania donovani. Its description in RNAcentral is "gene:unknown". The record is from RNAcentral. Lineage: Eukaryota; Euglenozoa; Kinetoplastea; Trypanosomatida; Trypanosomatidae.